RNAcentral lists this ribosomal RNA (709 nucleotides) under uncultured bacterium. RNAcentral's name for it is "bacterial SSU rRNA". It matches the Rfam family "Bacterial small subunit ribosomal RNA", at positions 62 to 800 of the family's 1533-position model. The record is from RNAcentral.
UCGAAUGUAGUUUACUACAUGGGCGGACGGGUGAGUAACGCGUGAGCAAUCUGCCCAUAUCUGGGGGAUAACAGUUGGAAACGACUGAUAAUACCGCAUAAUAUGGUUUGAAGGCAUCUUCUUUCCAUCAAAGAUCUAUCGGAUAUGGAUGAGCUCGCGUCUGAUUAGCUUGUUGGUGAGGUAACGGCUCACCAAGGCGACGAUCAGUAGCCGACCUGAGAGGGUGAUCGGCCACAUUGGAACUGAGACACGGUCCAAACUCCUACGGGAGGCAGCAGUGGGGAAUAUUGGGCAAUGGAGGAAACUCUGACCCAGCAACGCCGCGUGAAUGAUGAAGGUCUUCGGAUUGUAAAGUUCUUUUCUAAGGGAAGAAGAAAGUGACGGUACCUUAGGAAUAAGCCUCGGCUAACUACGUGCCAGCAGCCGCGGUAAUACGUAGGAGGCAAGCGUUAUCCGGAAUGACUGGGCGUAAAGGGUGCGUAGGUGGUUUGGCAAGUUGGUAGCGUAACUCCGGGGCUCAACCUCGGCACUACUACCAAAACUGUCGGACUUGAGUGCAGGAGGGGCAACUGGAAUUCCUAGUGUAGCGGUGGAAUGCGUAGAUAUUAGGAGGAACACCAGUGGCGAAGGCGAGUUGCUGGACUGUAACUGACACUGAGGCACGAAAGCGUGGGGAGCAAACAGGAUUAGAUACCCUGGUAGUCCACGC